This is a long non-coding RNA of Salmo salar (Atlantic salmon), 1162 nucleotides long. RefSeq lists it as uncharacterized. Lineage: Eukaryota; Metazoa; Chordata; Actinopteri; Salmoniformes; Salmonidae. The record is from RefSeq and is a predicted model, not a curated record.
UGGAGGGGCUGAGAGCUGAGGGGAAGAGUGACAUAAAGAAGAGAGAAGUUCAUUAUCCAGCUGAAAAGGAAACCAAUGGCUUUCACAGUCUCCAUGGGAACCGGCCUUUCUUUUGCUGUCAAACCUAUGAUAAGAAACCCUCUCCUUUCUUCCGUUCCAAGGCAGCCCUUUUCAAACCGGGAAGCUCCAGGUCAGUUUCCCUUUCCAAGUUUUACGGCCUGCCAUGUUGUCUAUUCUGCUCAGCUAUUUAAAAAAUGUUGAAUAUCAACAAUGGCUUUCACUGGUGUAUUGUCAACUUUUGUAUGAAGCAAUCUUGGCUGAAUGAGAUGGGUCCCAGAGCAGGGAGGGCUUGGCUGCGGCAUGCACCGCAACACCACUGGCGCCUGCCUGGCUCUCUCUCUCUCUCUCUCUCUCUCUCUGCUGCAGGCAGGAUCAGGGAGGCAGGAGCAGCCGUCCCUCUAGUCCCUGUCUCAGCCCAGCCGUUGGGGUCUGCAUGGGGCUGGGAAAGCCACCCCCUCGUCAGUCCACUCCGCGAACCCAUCCUCAUCCUCCCCCUGCCUCUGGCCCUGUCGUCUGGGAGCCCCCGAAGGUGUGACACCUCACACAGGGAUCGGAGAGCAGGAGCCCCGGGGGUCAGUCAGAGCUGGGUAGCCAUGCCAACCCCAUUGGAGAUGUAUGUUUGAAGAUAAUCAUAGGAAAUCCUCCACCUAACCCAGAGAAACCCUCUCCAGGUCAGCAGCAACCCUGGAGUACCCUACUACCUGACAGGUGGAUCUGUCAGCACCCUAUACACUGUGCUGUGCUCUGGGUCUUCCCUCCCUCCCAGUCCUGAUCCUCAGGUGUCUGGCUGACUGGGUCUCUGGGUCUUCCCUCCCUCCCAGUCCUGAUCCUCAGGUGUCUGGCUGACUGGGUCUCUGGGUCAUCCCUCCCUCCCAGUCCUGAUCCUCAGGUGUCUGGCUAACUGGGUCUCCAGACAAAGGGUGUCCCCCACCAUCCAUUCACAAGCCACAGGUCGGGGCCUGAAAGAUGUGCCAGACCUGCCAAACAUUGGCCUCCACCUCGCCCUGCAGACAUGGCUAAACUCAAAACACACAGAUCAUACACACACACACACACACACACACACGCGCACCUUUCAACAAACAUACCGUAGUUGAUCGUA